GUCGCAAGACAAGCACCGGCGGACGGCUCAGUAACACGUGGACAACCUGCCCUCGGGAGGGGGAUAACCCCGGGAAACUGGGGCUAAACCCCCAUAGGAGAUGGAUACUGGAAUGUUCCAUCUCCGAAAGUCCGCAAGGAGCCCGAGGAUGGGUCUGCGGCGGAUUAGGUAGUUGGUGGGGUAACGGCCUACCAAGCCUAAGAUCCGUACGGGCCAUGGGAGUGGGAGCCCGGAGAUGGACCCUGAGACAAGGGUCCAGGCCCUACGGGGCGCAGCAGGCGCGAAACCUCCGCAAUGCGGGAAACCGCGACGGGGUCAGCCGGAGUGCCGAUGCUUGCAUCGGCUGUCGGGGAGCCUAAAAAGCUCCCCAUAGCAAGGGCCGGGCAAGGCCGGUGGCAGCCGCCGCGGUAAUACCGGCGGCCCGAGUGGCGGUCACUAUUAUUGGGCUUAAAGCGUCCGUAGCCGGGUUGGGAAGUCCUCCGGGAAAUCUGGCCGCUUAACGGUCAGAAUGCCGGAGGAUACUCCCAGCCUAGGGAGCAGGAGAGGCCGAGGGUAUUCCCGGAGUAGGGGUGAAAUCCUAUAAUCCCGGGAGGACCACCU
RNAcentral lists this ribosomal RNA (600 nucleotides) under uncultured archaeon. RNAcentral's name for it is "bacterial SSU rRNA". It matches the Rfam family "Archaeal small subunit ribosomal RNA", at positions 66 to 662 of the family's 1478-position model. The record is from RNAcentral.